AUUGAACGCUGGCGGCAUGCUUUACACAUGCAAGUCGAACGGCAGCGCGGGCUUCGGCCUGGCGGCGCGUGGCGAACGGGUGAGUAAUACAUCGGAACGUGCCCAGUAGUGGGGGAUAGCUCGGCGACAGCCGGAUUAAUACCGCAUACGACCUGAGGGUGAAAGCGGGGGAUCUUCGGACAUCGCGCUAUUGGAGCGGCCGAUGGCAGAUUAGCUAGUUGGUGGGGUAAAGGCCUACCAAGGCGACGAUCUGUAGCUGGUCUGAGAGGACGACCAGCCACACUGGGACUGAGACACGGCCCAGACUCCUACGGGAGGCAGCAGUGGGGAAUUUUGGACAAUGGGCGAAAGCCUGAUCCAGCAAUGCCGCGUGUGUGAUGAAGGCCUUCGGGUUGUAAAGCACUUUUGGCGGGAACGAAAAGGACUGUGCCAAUACCACGGUUCGAUGACGGUACCCGCAGAAUAAGCACCGGCUAACUACGUG
RNAcentral lists this ribosomal RNA (484 nucleotides) under uncultured bacterium. Its description in RNAcentral is "partial 16S ribosomal RNA". It matches the Rfam family "Bacterial small subunit ribosomal RNA", at positions 29 to 507 of the family's 1533-position model. The record is from RNAcentral.